CGUAGGGUGCGAGCGUUAAUCGGAAUUACUGGGCGUAAAGUGUGCGCAGGCGGCGUUGCAAGUCGAGUGUGAAAUCCCCGAGCUUAACUUGGGAAUUGCGCUCGAAACUACGAUGCUCGAGUGUGGCAGAGGAAGGUGGAAUUCCACGUGUAGCGGUGAAAGUGCGUAGAGAUGUGGAGGAACACCGAUGGCGAAGGCAGCCUUCUGGGCCAACACUGACGCUCAUGCACGAAAGCGUGGGGAGCAAACAGGAUUAGAUACCCUGGUAGUCCACGCCCUAAACGAUGAUGACUAGUUGUUGGAGGAGUUAAAUCCUUUAGUAACGCAGCUAACGCGUGAAGUCAUCCGCCUGGGGAGUACGGUCGCAAGAUUA
RNAcentral lists this ribosomal RNA (373 nucleotides) under uncultured organism. Its description in RNAcentral is "bacterial SSU rRNA". It matches the Rfam family "Bacterial small subunit ribosomal RNA", at positions 526 to 896 of the family's 1533-position model. The record is from RNAcentral.